CCUACGGGAGGCAGCAGUGAGGAAUAUUGGUCAAUGGACGCAAGUCUGAACCAGCCAUGCCGCGUGCAGGAAGACGGCUCUAUGAGUUGUAAACUGCUUUUGUACGAGGGUAAAUCCCGAUACGUGUAUCGGGUUGAAAGUAUCGUACGAAUAAGGAUCGGCUAACUCCGUGCCAGCAGCCGCGGUAAGACGGAGGAUUCAAGCGUUAUCCGGAUUUAUUGGGUUUAAAGGGUGCGUAGGCGGUUCGAUAAGUUAGAGGUGAAAGCCCGGGGCUCAACUCCGGCACUGCCUCUGAUACUGUCGGGCUAGAGUUUAGUUGCGGUAGGCGGAAUGUAUGGUGUAGCGGUGAAAUGCAUAGAGAUCAUACAGAACACCGAUUGCGAAGGCAGCUUACCAAACUACGACUGACGUUGAGGCACGAAAGCGUGGGGAGCAAACAGGAUUAGAUACCCCUGUAAUC
This 460-nucleotide ribosomal RNA is filed under the name uncultured bacterium. Its description in RNAcentral is "partial 16S ribosomal RNA". It matches the Rfam family "Bacterial small subunit ribosomal RNA", at positions 338 to 795 of the family's 1533-position model. The record is from RNAcentral.